RNAcentral lists this ribosomal RNA (314 nucleotides) under Klebsiella pneumoniae. RNAcentral's name for it is "bacterial SSU rRNA". It matches the Rfam family "Bacterial small subunit ribosomal RNA", at positions 1005 to 1319 of the family's 1533-position model. Lineage: Bacteria; Pseudomonadati; Pseudomonadota; Gammaproteobacteria; Enterobacterales; Enterobacteriaceae. The record is from RNAcentral.
GAUGGAUUGGUGCCUUCGGGAACUGUGAGACAGGUGCUGCAUGGCUGUCGUCAGCUCGUGUUGUGAAAUGUUGGGUUAAGUCCCGCAACGAGCGCAACCCUUAUCCUUUGUUGCCAGCGGUUCGGCCGGGAACUCAAAGGAGACUGCCAGUGAUAAACUGGAGGAAGGUGGGGAUGACGUCAAGUCAUCAUGGCCCUUACGACCAGGGCUACACACGUGCUACAAUGGCAUAUACAAAGAGAAGCGACCUCGCGAGAGCAAGCGGACCUCAUAAAGUAUGUCGUAGUCCGGAUUGGAGUCUGCAACUCGACUCC